This 735-nucleotide ribosomal RNA is filed under the name Janthinobacterium lividum. RNAcentral's name for it is "bacterial SSU rRNA". It matches the Rfam family "Bacterial small subunit ribosomal RNA", at positions 83 to 814 of the family's 1533-position model. The record is from RNAcentral. Lineage: Bacteria; Pseudomonadati; Pseudomonadota; Betaproteobacteria; Burkholderiales; Oxalobacteraceae.
CUCUGGUGGCGAGUGGCGAACGGGUGAGUAAUAUAUCGGAACGUACCCUAGAGUGGGGGAUAACGUAGCGAAAGUUACGCUAAUACCGCAUACGAUCUAAGGAUGAAAGUGGGGGAUCGCAAGACCUCAUGCUCGUGGAGCGGCCGAUAUCUGAUUAGCUAGUUGGUAGGGUAAAAGCCUACCAAGGCAUCGAUCAGUAGCUGGUCUGAGAGGACGACCAGCCACACUGGAACUGAGACACGGUCCAGACUCCUACGGGAGGCAGCAGUGGGGAAUUUUGGACAAUGGGCGAAAGCCUGAUCCAGCAAUGCCGCGUGAGUGAAGAAGGCCUUCGGGUUGUAAAGCUCUUUUGUCAGGGAAGAAACGGUGAGAGCUAAUAUCUCUUGCUAAUGACGGUACCUGAAGAAUAAGCACCGGCUAACUACGUGCCAGCAGCCGCGGUAAUACGUAGGGUGCAAGCGUUAAUCGGAAUUACUGGGCGUAAAGCGUGCGCAGGCGGUUUUGUAAGUCUGAUGUGAAAUCCCCGGGCUCAACCUGGGAAUUGCAUUGGAGACUGCAAGGCUAGAAUCUGGCAGAGGGGGGUAGAAUUCCACGUGUAGCAGUGAAAUGCGUAGAUAUGUGGAGGAACACCGAUGGCGAAGGCAGCCCCCUGGGUCAAGAUUGACGCUCAUGCACGAAAGCGUGGGGAGCAAACAGGAUUAGAUACCCUGGUAGUCCACGCCCUAAACGAUGUCU